GAAACGAUAUCAGCAUUGGGACUACGUGCAUUAUCGCCUGAGUCGAACGCCUGAGUCGAUCGUAUUCUAAAGUCCACUUUACAUCAACAAUAAAUUGGACAAGAAAUUGACCAAGUUAUUCAAGGCCAAAUUUGACGUGUAAAAGCACACUUUGACAUCUAAGUUUGUUCGUUAUAAACUUCACGUGAAGAAAUUGACGAAAAAGAAAAUUGUUCUAUUUUUUCAUUUAUUUGGCGUGAAUUCAGUGUCACCAACCUGUGUCCAUUUGGCGGGAAGUGGAAGUAGAGCUGUAGAGCUUUUUGUUUAUUAUUAUUUGUUGAGGUUGAGUCUUUCAUGUUCAUGACAACCUAAAAAUUUUGAUUGGAAAAUGCAUAUAAGAUGAGGGGGUGGGAAAAUGGAAAUUAGUGGCUUUUUUGCAGUUCUGUCUGUUAGUUUUGCUCUGGCUGGGUCUCUUUUGUUUAAACAAUUAUAAUCAGCUGAAAGUGGUCUACAAAAAAACCAGGAAGGAAACGUAUUAUAGCCUUGUUGUGGCUAUGAAAGGCAAAAGAAAGAUACCUAUAAAAAGUGUAUUGACUAGUUGGAAGAAACUCCACAUUGUCGAUGCAUAAUAAGAUAUUACUUUAUAAACAAAUAUCAAGACCUAGGAAUGGAACCUGGAUAAUAUAGUCAUCAAGAAGAUAGCAGGAGGUCAUGAGCAACAACAACUUCAUAAGUAUGAGAAUAUUGAGGAAAUCCAGCUCCUCGAUAUCUACUACUGGACAAACUAGAAGAUUGAAGAGGACAAAGCCUUUUGAACUAGUUUGAGUGAUAGGUGAUAGUGAAAAGCAGAGCGUAGUGCUUGUGUGCCUGUGUAUGUUAGAAUAGUGCACGAUCUUGUUAGAUUAGAUAAGAGACGCUAUAGGGUAAGCUCUUCAUUUUAAGGAACAGUAGUAAUUUAGGUUAAAUUAAAAUUGCUCAUUGGUCAGUUAUGACCAGAUUGUAAUUCUCUGAUGUUUGGCAAAAAGGGCUGAAGUCAGAAUUGCACAUCAAUAAUGUUUUGAUGAUUUCUGGACCAUAAAAAAAGUGUUGCAGACUUAAACUGUAUGUACCAAUAAAAAGAGCCGAUUUUUCUGGUCCAGAAAUCAUCAAAACAUUAUCGAUGUGCAAUUCUGACUUAAGCCCUUUUUCCCAAACAUCAGAGAAUUGCAAUGUACAAUUCAAUACAAAUGAAUCAUCAUCGUAGUGAUGAUUAUGGAAAAAAAUAUAUAUAUAUAUAGAAAUAUAUAUAUUUUGUGCAAUAAAAAUGUUUAUAUUUAUCAAGGAUGUAUUAUUUGGUAUGGCCACAUAUACUUCUGGUAUAUCGUCGGUGAUGUGACAAUACCUCCUAUCUGCUUUUUCAUGAAUUUUGUAGGAGACGAAAAACCAUUUUUAGGGUCAUCUGUUUUCACAUGUAAAUUUUGACAUGUUUUGUAGUAAAUAGAUAAUUGAAUUUACUACAAAACAUGUCAAAAAAUAUCAUAUGAAAACAGGAGGUGACUGUAAAAAAAGUUUUUAGUCUCUCUUACAAAAUGGUUAACAGUUAAUAGAGAGACAGAUAAUCGAGGUUCCACUGUAUAGUGAAAUUUGGACACCCGACACCCCAUACAAAUUUUAUGGGGGUUUUGUUCGUUUAAACCCCCCCCCCCCAAACUUUUGUGUAAGUUACAAUUGAAUUAUUAUUGUGGUACUAUUAAACACAAUGUUUUUAAAACUUAUUUGCCUCUUAGUACUUUUUUGAAGUCAGUUUUUAUCGUGAUAUUUUGAAUAUUUGUCAAAUCCACCACAUAUUUGUAUAUGGUUAAGUACGAUUGUAGAGACUAAUAAUAUGAAAAUUUAUUUAUGAUUUACAUUUUUAGGUAUAUUUUGAACCAUUUUAAAAAGAAGCCAUAUCUUGAUAAAAAGAGCUUUAUCGAAAAAAUAGAAAGAGGUAAAAAAGUUUUAAAAACACAGUGUUUAACUAAUGGUACCGCAGAAAUAAUUUAAUUGGAACGUACCCAAAAGUUUGGGGGGGUUAAAGGGAACAAAACCCCCAUAAAAUUUUUAUGGGGUGCACAAAUUUCACUAUAAUUUUUCUUUAAGAUGUUACUGCAAUAAUAUUGCUUCAUGUCCAUUUUCAAUAAAAAAUCUUUAAUAGUUUUCGAUAUAUUCGAAAAAAUCGAAUUUUCAUUUUGUAUCUUCAAAGGGCUGUAACUUUUUUUGUGUGCAUAUUUGUACUAAGGUAAGUUAGGUUCAUUCAAAUUAUUUUUGGUCCCAGAAUAUGUGAUUUAAUUUACGACCAAUCUUUUCGGGACACCCUGUAUAAUAAAUGGGAUUAGCUGGCUUAAAAAUUCAUAAUCUACGUUCUGUAGAAAAUAUACAGUUUUUGGUUUCUUUUUAACUAGAUCUUAAUAUCUAACCAAGCAUUUUAAAACCUUUUUAUUAUUUUUUCGAUGAUAUAUUCAUGUUUUUAGUUUGUUCAAAAUAUUCUAGAUGAUUGUACACUAUAAUAGAUAGCCAACUAAAUAAACACAAAAAUUUUAUUUUUGUUACAGCCUGUAUAUAAGUUUACCUAUAUAUACAGUGCAUUACGCACCACCUUAAAAAUUGGGCAUUUUUGAUGUCUCGAAUUUCCUAAACCUGUUGUCCCAUCUAAGUGAUUUUUUUAUAAUAAUAUAGCCUGAGGCUAUAGGUUACUGCCUUAUGCUUGUCAUGCACGGGGAGCUAUACUGUAAUAUAUAUUAUAUCACGUCGCUCUCUAUAGUAAUGAGUGAGCCUGCACAUACGGAACCAUUAGUUCCCUGUCUGCAGGCUCACUCAUUACUAUAGAGAGCGAUAUGAUAUAAUAUACAUAUAUUACAGUAUAGCUACCAGUGCAUGACAAGCUUAAGGAUGUAACCUAUAGCCUAGGCUAUAUUAUAAAAAAAUCACUCAGAUGAGACAACAGGUUUAGAAAAUUCGAGACAUCAAAAAUGCCCUAUUUUUAAGGUGGUGCGUUAAUUUCUUGGAGAAGUGUAUUGUAAUUUAAUGUAAAUAAUGUAAUAUCCAAUAAUUGUAAUUUAAUAUAAGAUGUAAUAUAAGUUCCUUAAAAAUA
Molecule: long non-coding RNA, 3088 nt
Filed under: Diabrotica virgifera virgifera (western corn rootworm)
Lineage: Eukaryota; Metazoa; Arthropoda; Insecta; Coleoptera; Chrysomelidae
Description: uncharacterized LOC126892352
Source: RNAcentral